AUAUGGGGCCUGUGCAACAGAAUGCCGCGAACCAUGUCAGGCGGGGAACCGAGCAGCAUUAAGCGGAUGUUUUUGUGUGCCGCAGUUCACCCUGUAUAUC
RNAcentral lists this signal recognition particle RNA (100 nucleotides) under Merdimmobilis hominis. RNAcentral describes it as "Bacterial small signal recognition particle RNA". It matches the Rfam family "Bacterial small signal recognition particle RNA". Rfam says of the family: The signal recognition particle (SRP) is a universally conserved ribonucleoprotein involved in the co-translational targeting of proteins to membranes. Archaeal SRP consists of a 7S RNA and homologues of the eukaryotic SRP19 and SRP54 proteins. Lineage: Bacteria; Bacillati; Bacillota; Clostridia; Eubacteriales; Oscillospiraceae. The record is from Rfam by way of RNAcentral.